Molecule: ribosomal RNA, 493 nt
Filed under: uncultured bacterium
Lineage: Bacteria
Description: bacterial SSU rRNA
Rfam family: Bacterial small subunit ribosomal RNA
Source: RNAcentral
GAUGAACGCUGGCGGCGUGCCUAAUACAUGCAAGUCGAGCGAAUGGAUUAAGAGCUUGCUCUUAUGAAGUUAGCGGCGGACGGGUGAGUAACACGUGGGUAACCUGCCCAUAAGACUGGGAUAACUCCGGGAAACCGGGGCUAAUACCGGAUAACAUUUUGAACCGCAUGGUUCGAAAUUGAAAGGCGGCUUCGGCUGUCACUUAUGGAUGGACCCGCGUCGCAUUAGCUAGUUGGUGAGGUAACGGCUCACCAAGGCAACGAUGCGUAGCCGACCUGAGAGGGUGAUCGGCCACACUGGGACUGAGACACGGCCCAGACUCCUACGGGAGGCAGCAGUAGGGAAUCUUCCGCAAUGGACGAAAGUCUGACGGAGCAACGCCGCGUGAGUGAUGAAGGCUUUCGGGUCGUAAACUCUGUUGUUAGGGAAGAACAAGUGCUAGUUGAAUAAGCUGGCACCUUGACGGUACCUAACCAGAAAGCCACGGCUAACU